GAGGCCUGCCUGCCCAGUGACAAACGUUCAACGGCCGCGGUAUCCUGACCGUGCAAAGGUAGCAUAAUCACUUGUUCCUUAAUUGGGGACUGGAAUGAAUGGCCUCACGAGGAUUCAACUGUCUCUUACCUCUAAUCAGUGAAAUUGACCUCCCCGUGAAGAGGCGGGGAUACAACAACAAGACGAGAAGACCCUAUGGAGCUUUAAUUUUCUGUCUUAACUACUAAAUAAUUUACCCUACUGGGAUAAAAAAAGAGAAGUAAGUCAGUAAUUUCGGUUGGGGUGACCUCGGAGAAUAAGACAACCUCCGAAUGAUUUUAACCAAGACAAACAAGUCAAAGUAUUAAAAAUCAAAUUGACCCAAUUCAUUUGAUCAACGGACCAAGUUACCCUAGGGAUAACAGCGCAAUCCUAUUCAAGAGUCCAUAUCGACAAUUAGGGUUUACGACCUCGAUGUUGGAUCAGGACAUCCCAAUGGUGCAGCAGCUAUUAAUGGUUCGUUUGUUCAACGAUUAAAGUCCUACGUGAUCUG
RNAcentral lists this ribosomal RNA (532 nucleotides) under Microtus thomasi (Thomas's pine vole). RNAcentral's name for it is "partial 16S ribosomal RNA". It matches the Rfam family "Bacterial large subunit ribosomal RNA", at positions 1850 to 2607 of the family's 2925-position model. Lineage: Eukaryota; Metazoa; Chordata; Mammalia; Rodentia; Cricetidae. The record is from RNAcentral.